This is a long non-coding RNA of Cucumis sativus (cucumber), 334 nucleotides long. RefSeq lists it as uncharacterized. NCBI's taxonomy places the organism in Eukaryota, Viridiplantae, Streptophyta, Magnoliopsida, Cucurbitales, Cucurbitaceae. The record is from RefSeq and is a predicted model, not a curated record. The transcript is spliced from 3 exons.
CCCCCUCGGAAACCCAAGUCUUCCAAAGAAAAUUCUCCACCGUCAGAUCGGUUUUCGAUUCCAAAUCCUGAAGAGCCCGCUUCCACCUAGGCCUCCCUCUUCUAACCCGACCGUUCCUGAGAGUUCGCUAUCACAUACUGCUUUUACCUGCAAUCCCGAUCCAAGAGACUGGCAGAUGGUUUAAGUAGCUGGUUCCGGAGGCAGAAGCUAACAGGUGCAGCUGGGGAGCGCUUGAAGGAAGCACGCAAUAUCAACCGAUCACUCUCACAACUCGGAUCGGAAUGAUGUUGCUCAUCUGAAAGAAGGCAGCAUCAUGUGCUUGAAGACUUGUGGA